This 496-nucleotide ribosomal RNA is filed under the name uncultured bacterium. RNAcentral describes it as "partial 16S ribosomal RNA". It matches the Rfam family "Bacterial small subunit ribosomal RNA", at positions 28 to 506 of the family's 1533-position model. The record is from RNAcentral.
GAUGAACGCUGGCGGCGUGCCUAAUACAUGCAAGUCGAGCGAACGGACGAGAAGCUUGCUUCUCUGAUGUUAGCGGCGGACGGGUGAGUAACACGUGGAUAACCUACCUAUAAGACUGGGAUAACUUCGGGAAACCGGAGCUAAUACCGGAUAAUAUUUUGAACCGCAUGGUUCAAAAGUGAAAGACGGUCUUGCUGUCACUUAUAGAUGGAUCCGCGCUGCAUUAGCUAGUUGGUAAGGUAACGGCUUACCAAGGCAACGAUGCAUAGCCGACCUGAGAGGGGGAUGGGCCACACGGGAACUGAGACCGGGUCCAGGCUCCUAGGGGGGGCAGCGGUGGGGAAUUUUCCGACAGGGGGGAAAGCCUGAAGGAGCAACGGCGGGGGGGUGAAGAAGGGUUGCGGUUCGUAAAACUUUUUUAUUAGGGAAAAAAAUAUGGGUAAGUAACGGGGCACAUUUUGAGGGAACCUAUAAAAAAAGCCAGGGCAAACUACGG